CUGAGUUUUAUAAAUCCAUUUGGUGGUAUCCUAGGAAUUUAAUCCUUAUGAUCAACCUGGAAUUUGUAAGUUGCUCAAAAAGCAGUGAAUUCCUUGUAGUAAGAGCCCCAAAAAAUAGUCGCUUCACUUAUUUGUUAUUGCAUUUAUUUCCUUUUUUCUUAAAUAUAAGUUCUCUCACACCAGACUCAUGAUGCAGGUUUAUUUCUCAAGACCCUGUUGUAUUGCUUUCUCUUCUUGUGAAGUUUCCAUUUCUAUGUGGGGGUCCUUUUCCUCAUCAUAAGUUGGGGAUGAUUGCACUUGGGACUUGAUCUGAUCUUGAUCACCUUCUUUGCCUAACAACAGCAGGUAUAGUCCAAUAAUAACAAUGGCUCCUCCCAGCAAGCUUCCUGUUUGCAGCUCUUCACCAAAGAAAAAGUAUGCCAGAAUUGCUACCAGUAUUGUUGAAAGGGGACUAAACAUAGUCACAAAGACUGGCCCCUUCUGUUUUGUGCACCACAGUUGAAGGAAGACUGUUAAAGCACAGAUUACAACUCCAGCGUAAACGAUGCACCAGAAGUUGAUGUCGAAUGUAAUGUACCAUGCUUCCAGUUUGUGUUGUAUACACAAUGUGAAGACAGCUGAUUGUAGUCCCCCAAGAAAGUUUAUCAUGGCAGUCAGUGAUAGCUGUGCAGGAUACUUCUUCAAUGUAUAUACCUGCAUAAUGAACCACAUAGACGAUGUUAUGCAACUUGCAGCAAGUAGAAAUGACCCUUUUAUCCAGUUUUGUUGAGCAGGAUUACUUCUAAUAUGAAUCGGAGCACCCUGCAAGCUUCGCACCUCAGGUCCCUUGUAAAAGGUGAGUGUCAAGGCCCCUGCCAGGGACAUUAAUGCUCCAAGGAUUUUGGCUAUCCCACGAGGAUUCCUUACAUCAACAACCUCCAACCUGAGAAUAGUAGCAAAUAUAAAAGUAAUACUGGGAAUGGUGUUGGUCAUUGAUGUAAUAAAGGCAGGAGAGGUGUAUUUCAAGCUUGAAAAGUACAUGUUGAGGGUCAAGCUAGCCCCUAGGAGAGAGAGUACAAAUAUCUCCAGAAACAAGGGAAAUGUCAUCUUUGGCCUUACUUUUCUUUCAAGAAAAUAUGCAAAAG
RNAcentral lists this unclassified non-coding RNA (1124 nucleotides) under Hevea brasiliensis (rubber tree). Lineage: Eukaryota; Viridiplantae; Streptophyta; Magnoliopsida; Malpighiales; Euphorbiaceae. The record is from RNAcentral.